This 492-nucleotide ribosomal RNA is filed under the name uncultured bacterium. Its description in RNAcentral is "partial 16S ribosomal RNA". It matches the Rfam family "Bacterial small subunit ribosomal RNA", at positions 30 to 507 of the family's 1533-position model. The record is from RNAcentral.
ACUGAACGCUGGCGGUAGGCCUAACACAUGCAAGUCGAACGGCAGCACAGUAAGAGCUUGCUCUUACGGGUGGCGAGUGGCGGACGGGUGAGGAAUACAUCGGAAUCUACUUUUUCGUGGGGGAUAACGUAGGGAAACUUACGCUAAUACCGCAUACGACCUACGGGUGAAAGCAGGGGAUCUUCGGACCUUGCGCGAUUGAAUGAGCCGAUGUCGGAUUAGCUAGUUGGCGGGGUAAAGGCCCACCAAGGCGACGAUCCGUAGCUGGUCUGAGAGGAUGAUCAGCCACACUGGAACUGAGACACGGUCCAGACUCCUACGGGAGGCAGCAGUGGGGAAUAUUGGACAAUGGGCGCAAGCCUGAUCCAGCCAUACCGCGUGGGUGAAGAAGGCCUUCGGGUUGUAAAGCCCUUUUGUUGGGAAAGAAAAGCAGCAGGUUAAUACCCCGCUGUUCUGACGGUACCCAAAGAAUAAGCACCGGCUAACUUCGUG